CAGGCAUGAGCCACCUGGCUUCUACCCCUACUUUUGAGUACCUGAUUCCUGGUAUGUAUUUAGUUGGACUGUGAGUUAGCCUUUCUAAAGAAUUAUAUCAUUUGGGUUCUCCCUUAAAUCUACAACAUUUGGAUUAAUGUGUUAGAACUUCUUUUAAAAAAGUGCAGUUCUCAUAUGCUGAGUAGACAUUUAAUAAAAGGAAGUUAGCACUCUACCAC
Molecule: long non-coding RNA, 218 nt
Organism: Perognathus longimembris pacificus (Pacific pocket mouse)
Lineage: Eukaryota; Metazoa; Chordata; Mammalia; Rodentia; Heteromyidae
Exons: 3
Source: RefSeq, a predicted model, not a curated record